UACAGAGGGUGCGAGCGUUAAUCGGAAUUACUGGGCGUAAAGCGUGCGUAGACGGUUAUUUAAGUCGGGUGUGAAAGCCCCGGGCUCAACCUGGGAAUUGCAUUCGAGACUGAAUAGCUAGGGUACGGUAGAGGGAAGCGGAAUUUCCGGUGUAGCGGUGAAAUGCGUAGAGAUCGGAAAGAACACCAGCGGCGAAAGCACUCUGCUGGGCCGACACUGACACUGAGAGACGAAAGCUAGGGGAGCGAAUGGG
RNAcentral lists this ribosomal RNA (253 nucleotides) under uncultured bacterium. RNAcentral's name for it is "partial 16S ribosomal RNA". It matches the Rfam family "Bacterial small subunit ribosomal RNA", at positions 524 to 776 of the family's 1533-position model. The record is from RNAcentral.